UACGUAGGGUGCGAGCGUUGUCCGGAAUUACUGGGCGUAAAGAGCUCGUAGGUGGUUUGUCGCGUUGUCCGUGAAAACUCACAACUCAAUUGUGGGCGUGCGGGCGAUACGGGCAGACUGGAGUACUGCAGGGGAGACUGGAAUUCCUGGUGUAGCGGUGGAAUGCGCAGAUAUCAGGAGGAACACCAAUGGCGAAGGCAGAUCUCUGGGCCGUAACUGACGCUGAGGAGCGAAAGCAUGGGGAGCGAACAGG
This 253-nucleotide ribosomal RNA is filed under the name uncultured bacterium. Its description in RNAcentral is "partial 16S ribosomal RNA". It matches the Rfam family "Bacterial small subunit ribosomal RNA", at positions 524 to 776 of the family's 1533-position model. The record is from RNAcentral.